AAAUAACACAUCAAAGAUACGAGAACUGAACCAUAUUUUCCAAAUAUUGAUUAAGAGUUAUUUGAAGCACACUGACAUAGAUAAACAGUUUGAUGCUAUGAUUCUAGUCAUACGUUGAUACAUAAGUUAUGUCUUUUAAAAAAAAAAGAAAAAGAAAAAGAAAAAGUUUUGUCUUUGCACAGCAAUGUCUUUUAUGCCAUUAUAAACCCAC
Molecule: long non-coding RNA, 211 nt
Filed under: Mytilus galloprovincialis (Mediterranean mussel)
Lineage: Eukaryota; Metazoa; Mollusca; Bivalvia; Mytilida; Mytilidae
Source: RNAcentral